Non-coding RNA from Sus scrofa (pig), 98 nucleotides. Lineage: Eukaryota; Metazoa; Chordata; Mammalia; Artiodactyla; Suidae. The record is from RefSeq and is marked provisional.
UCUUUAGAGGGAGCUCGAUCGUCCGGAUGCUCAGCCUGGGACGUCCCCCCGCCGCCCCGGGGCCAGAGCAGAGCUGGGGGCUGCAGCCUAGCAGGGAA